GCAUAUCAAUAAGCGGAGGGAAAAAAGAAACUAACAAGGAUUCCCUAGUAACUGCGAAGUGAAGCGGGAAAAGCUCAAAUUUAAAAUCUGGCGGUCUUUGGCCGUCCGAGUUGUAGUCUGGAGAAGCGUCUUCCGCGUUGGACCGUGUACAAGUCUCUUGGAACAGAGCGUCAUAGAGGGUGAGAAUCCCGUCUUUGACACGGACUACCAAUGCUUUGUGAUGCGCUCUCAAAGAGUCGCGUUGUUUGGGAAUGCAGCGCAAAAUGGGAGGUGAAUUCCUUCUAAAGCUAAAUAUUGGCGAGAGACCGAUAGCGAACAAGUACCGUGAGGGAAAGAUGAAAAGCACUUUGGAAAGAGAGUUAAACAGUACGUGAAAUUGCUAAAAGGGAAACGCUUGAAGUCAGUCGCGUCGUCCGGAACUCAGCUUUGCUUCGGCUUAGUGCACUUUCCGGUUGACGGGCCAGCAUCGAUUUUGACCGCUGGAAAAGGGCUGGAGGAAUGUGGCACCUUCGGGUGUGUUAUAGCCUUCAGUCGCAUACAGCGGUUGGGAUCGAGGAACGCAGCGCGCCUUAUGGCUGGGGUUCGCCCACAUUCGCGCUUAGGAUGCUGGCAUAAUGGCUUUAAACGACCCGUCUUGAAACACGGACCAAGGAGUCUAACAUGCCUGCGAGUGUUUGGGUGGAAAACCCGAGCGCGUAAUGAAAGUGAAAGUUGAGACCUCUGUCGUGGAGGGCAUCGACGCCCGGACCUGACGUUUCUCUGAAGGAUCCGCGGUAGAGCAUGUAUGUUGGGACCCGAAAGAUGGUGAACUAUGCCUGAAUAGGGUGAAAGCCAGAGGAAACUCUGGUGGAGGCUCGUAGCGAUUCUGACGUGCAAAUCGAUUCGUCAAAUUUGGGUAUAGGGGGCGAAAGACUAAUCGA
RNAcentral lists this ribosomal RNA (920 nucleotides) under Trametes versicolor. RNAcentral's name for it is "LSU rRNA". It matches the Rfam family "Eukaryotic large subunit ribosomal RNA", at positions 38 to 938 of the family's 3401-position model. Lineage: Eukaryota; Fungi; Basidiomycota; Agaricomycetes; Polyporales; Polyporaceae. The record is from RNAcentral.